This 243-nucleotide ribosomal RNA is filed under the name Herpotrichiellaceae sp. RNAcentral describes it as "partial large subunit ribosomal RNA". It matches the Rfam family "Eukaryotic large subunit ribosomal RNA", at positions 104 to 344 of the family's 3401-position model. The record is from RNAcentral. Lineage: Eukaryota; Fungi; Ascomycota; Eurotiomycetes; Chaetothyriales; Herpotrichiellaceae.
ACAGCUCAAAUUUGAAAUCUGGCCUCUUUGGGGUCCGAGUUGUAAUUUGUAGAGGAUGUUUCGGGUACCGCCUCGGUUUAAAUUUCUUGGAACAGAAUGUCAGAGAGGGUGAGAAUCCCGUCUUGGACCGGCGGUAGGGCCCAUGUGAAACUCCUUCGACGAGUCGAGUUGUUUGGGAAUGCAGCUCAAAAUGGGUGGUAAAUUCCAUCUAAAGCUAAAUAUUGGCGAGAGACCGAUAGCGAA